CCUUCGAUAGCUCAGUUGGUAGAGCGGAGGACUGCAGAGGAAUCCUUAGGUCGCCGGUUCAAAUCUGGCUCGAAGGA
Oreochromis niloticus (Nile tilapia) is the source of this 77-nucleotide non-coding RNA. The record is from Rfam. Lineage: Eukaryota; Metazoa; Chordata; Actinopteri; Cichliformes; Cichlidae.